UCCAGGGUAGCCUAGUGGACAUGGCAUCUGCCCGGUAAACGGAACACUGUGGGUUCGAUUCCCAUCUCUGGAA
RNAcentral lists this transfer RNA (73 nucleotides) under Cordylochernes scorpioides. RNAcentral describes it as "tRNA-Thr". It matches the Rfam family "tRNA". Rfam says of the family: Transfer RNA (tRNA) molecules are approximately 80 nucleotides in length. Their secondary structure includes four short double-helical elements and three loops (D, anti-codon, and T loops). Lineage: Eukaryota; Metazoa; Arthropoda; Arachnida; Pseudoscorpiones; Chernetidae. The record is from RNAcentral.